GAAAGACGCACAGGGACGAGCUUCCUGUGUCUGUGGAAACGCAGGGGACUGAGAUCCACGUUCGCUUUACAUCCACGUGUUGAGCUGCUUAUCCUGUAGAUUCUGCAAGGCUGGUGUGCUGUGCUUGUGGCCAGCCUCUGCCCUCAGCAUCCUUCCCCUCCCCUCACGGGGUCAAUCAAGGUCAACGGUGUGCCUCCCUGUCGGUAUGACAGCUGUUGCUCCCUCCCAUUAUUUCCCAGCCUUCCCCGUACAUCUCCCCUGUCCUCUACAACUUCAUUUCUCUUACCCACAGCCCUGCCUAGAAGAACACAACUUUCCAUCAGUUCCCUCCUGUGUGUAAUAGACAACCGAAUCAGAUGACACGACCAUCACUCUCCCAGCUCACAGAGCUCAUAAUUCUUGGUCAAGGCCAGUUUAUCCCUUCGUUCUUCUCCCCGUCUGUUCCCUAUAUUUCACCUCUUGCACAACCUCCUACAAAGUUUAUUCUAAAUAAGCACUUAUUCAGUCCAUAAAUGCACUGCCAAGUGGACGAAUGCCUUGCUCCCUUGACCUCAUCCAUCUCCAACACUUCCUUUCCUGUUCUCUUCCCCACCCGACCCUCCACCUCCCAUUCUAUUUACUUGUCCGAUCCUUUUAAUCGUCCUUUGCCAGUAAUUGAAUUUAGGGCCCUCGUUCAAAUUCCUCCCUUUCGAGUUAAUUCAUUCGUGUAAUCUUUCCUGUUGCUCUCUCAUCGCUUUCCUGCUGUGUCAUUUUAAUUGCCAGUGUUUCGGUAUUUUGUUUUUCACAUUUAUCUCUGGCUACGUGCGUUAGAUUUCUGCUCCCCAAAAUAGAGGGACUGAGAUAGUUAUUGAAAUGGCAGAUCUGGCUUUGCCUUAGCUUGCAAAUGAGAUUUGAACCUGGGUAGUAAAGUUAUAAAAAUAACACUGAAUUGGUAACUUGGAUAGUUGGGGAGGAGCAGGGAAACAGAGGAACAAAUUAGCUUUACUUCUUUGGAGAAUAGUCCGUGGGUCAACGGUCUGAGAUGCAAAUAAAAAGACUACAGAGUUGAGACUGCUGCUCACCUCCACCUGGGUAAUUGCUGGCCUCCACCAACAGGAUUGUUCAUUGACAAAGGAGACAUGUAGUCACUGGCUACAUUUAACUGUGUGACUGGGCAGCAGAAUUACCCACACCGCACUCAGUCUAGCCUUUGGUCUUACUGUCUUGCUGCCCACAGCAACAGAAUUCAAAUUCUAUUGUCAAAGCAUAUUGCUGCAAGCAGGAAUCCACUUUCCCCUGGAAGCACCCUAUCACCCCAAAGGAUGGGAUGCCCAGGCAUUGAGAUUUGCCGGAAAUGGAAAGAUGUCUUCAAGGAAACAGUUGGAAAAAAUACACUUCAAAAAACAUGGCGCUUAUCAGGAACCAGCUCUCCUAUGAGGGGCGAUGAGCACAAGGAACUUUCUUUCCCCCCUCCUUCCCCUCCGUCAUGGCUAUCUUCAUAUUUCGUGUGGGGAAAAAUGAGUCUGCAAGGAUGCCUAAAUUGUCCAGAUGAUGCAGCUUUAGGAGGCGAAGUCAUCGGGAAGAAUGGCCAUUGGAAUGAGAAAACUAAUGCAGAAAGCUGAUCGUUAUCAUGAAGUUUGGAACAAUUUUAUUAACUUGCUGCUCACUUGUCUGUCUGUUCGUCCGUUGCUGGCUCUCCUUUGAAAGAUGGAAGCCCGACAAAUGAAUCACUUGAAGGAGUCCGCCCCCAUGCCAAGGCCAGGCUUCUCGGAGGCACCAGAACGUGUCCUCCCUCCCUGCGCGCCCAACAGAGCAAAGCAGGCCUCCUCCU
This is a non-coding RNA of Vicugna pacos (alpaca), 1810 nucleotides long. The record is from RefSeq and is a predicted model, not a curated record. Lineage: Eukaryota; Metazoa; Chordata; Mammalia; Artiodactyla; Camelidae.